CCAGGCAGAGCCCUUCCGUUUGCUGACGUCUCCGAGGGCCCUGAAGGUCACUGAAAGAGCGUGACCACGCGACGGCGUCUCGUCGCACGCGGUGGGCGUCAGGAGCUGGGCGCCGGGGCUGUUUAGAAAACCGGAAGUGCCUGCGGCAAACUUUACGGCCCCAGCCCAGCGUGAGUCGGAAGCGGUAGCAGGUUAAGGGUACGAGGACCUUUGCGUCUUCCUUCAAACGUUUGUAUUCCUAACGUGAUCACUUACUCUGAGGAAAGCCAGCUGUCACAUCAUGAGGUCACUCAAGCAGUGUCAUGUGGCAAGGAAGUGAGGCCUGCCAGCAGCCACGUGAGUAAGCCACCUUGGAAGCAACCUUCCCAUGACUGGUCUCGGCCAACAGCUUGACUGCAACCUCAUGAGAUGCUGAGCUAGAACCACCCAGUUAAGCUACUUUGAAUCCUUGGCCCACAGAAACUGAGAUACUUAAUCUAGGACCUGGAAGGAUGGAUUUCCAGCAAAUUCCAGAGGGUGAAUUUUGAGCAUGCUCAGCCAGUGCUGCAUCACAAUGACUUCUCUGCCAUUCAGUUACCCAUGACUGUGCCCCCUUCUAAGGAGGAUCUGAAUCUCAGCCCUGAGGAGUGGGUAGAGUUCCCUUCCUUGGGGACUCAAUUUCAACCUAUGGAUAGUACCUACUCCUUAUAUCUGUUAUUCUUAUAUUCUUUGAAGUUUUCUAUUUUUACUCUGAUCCUCUGUUAUAAUUAUUCUUUAUAUUAAACUUUACCU
This is a long non-coding RNA of Eptesicus fuscus (big brown bat), 771 nucleotides long. RefSeq lists it as uncharacterized. The record is from RefSeq and is a predicted model, not a curated record. Lineage: Eukaryota; Metazoa; Chordata; Mammalia; Chiroptera; Vespertilionidae. The transcript is spliced from 3 exons.